Molecule: non-coding RNA, 105 nt
Filed under: chicken gut metagenome
Description: FMN riboswitch (RFN element)
Rfam family: FMN riboswitch aptamer (RFN element)
About the family: The RFN element is a highly conserved domain that is found frequently in the 5'-untranslated regions of prokaryotic mRNAs that encode for flavin mononucleotide (FMN) biosynthesis and transport proteins. This element is a metabolite-dependent riboswitch that directly binds FMN in the absence of proteins.
Source: RNAcentral
AGUCUUCAGGGCAGGGUGAAAUUCCCGAUCGGCGGUAAAGUCCGCGAGCUUAGGCAUGAUCCGGUGUAACUCCGGGACCGACAGUAUAGUCUGGAUGGAAGAAGC